UGCGCCGGCAGCUCGCCGGACUCCCGCAGCGCGUCUCCGAAAGUUCCAGUGCGGCGGGUGGACCACCGUCCAGCACAGCUGCACGCACCAGAGAAGGGAAAAGAAAACUCCCCGGGGGCUCCGUUGGCUUCUCUGGGAGUGACAAAGACGCUUUUCCACUUGAAGCCCGGAAGCUUCCUCCUUUGCAAUCCGAUAAGGGCUGCAGUGAGCGCCGCUCAUCCUUUUGAAGCCACCUUGCCAGGAAGAGCCGGUUGUGGGUGCACCCGCGGUGCCUGGCCGUCCCCUUCCAGGCUGGAUUCUGCGGAGCCUUCCUACUGACCACAGUCCUAAAGACCAUCCUUUUCCCACUGGCAGCACUGCCUUUGUCAUAAACCAAUAGAAAGGCGAAUCAACACAUGUUGGAAUCAAUACACAAGGACUUUAAAAUAACCAUGAGAAAUGCAUCUAAGAUCUUAUUAAAGAGAAAAAGAUAAAAUUGAUGAAGAGGCGUUCAGGCUUCAAGAUGGAUGAUGAACUUUCAAAAAGGAAAGAGAUGGAAAAUCAUCAAAAUUACCAUAAACUGUGCUGCCAACUGAAUAUAUUUUCCUUUGUAGCAUGUUCAGAGUCAAGGAAGAUUUUAUUCCUGCAUUAUGUAAUCCACCGACAGCCUCCUUACCUACUGUCUUAAUCCAGGUUAUUCCUGAAUGCAGAGCCUGAGACAAAGGUACACACGUUCUAUUUAGGAAUGUGAUCCCAGGGAGCAGGAAUAAAAGAGGAUUGAACAGGGGUAAGAAGAAAAGAAAAUCCAAGCAAAACAGGUAGUAUAAUCAAGUAGUUCAGUUGUUAACAGGUACUUAGUGCAUGCAGAUCCUCCUCAGGAGCCUUACCCAACCUUGUCUCAGAACAUCCUUUGUCCACCCAAAGGAUGAAAGGGAGAAGCAUUUAGUUCUCAGCAGCAGCCUCCUGCUUGCUGAGGGCUGCUCCCAUGGGAUGUUAACUUCUCUAUCUCUAUGGGUCGCUUAGAGAGGACAGCCUCACUGGCACCAGAACAUGACAUGUUGCCGCAUCAGAAAAGUCUUGGGACAGGAAGCUAGAUCCUUGGUGUGUACCUGAAGUGAGGCACUGUCAGCACAGAGCAGGGUGAAACCUACUCCAAACUUCACCAGAGCUGUGGCUGGAAUCAGAGGUUAGAGAGAUAUGGAACAGUGCACAAGAGGCAUCUUCUAAGCCUACAGAAGGUGCCCUUAGCCUAGUCCAAAUCUAUAGCCUCCUUUCUAUCAUCAAAAUUUCAGUAUCCAGAACAAGGUUGUUGAAGGGGUGAAAUUAGGAAGGUUAAAUGUAUUACAAGAUAUAUGUUAAUAAUAGUUUUAGCCUUGAGUGAUGUUUAAAAAAAUAGAAAUUGACAUUAGAACUUGGAAGAUUAGGAGAGCCUGUGUGGUACAGUUGGUUGAGCAUCUGACUAGGAUUUGGCUCAGGUCAUGAUCCCAGGGUUUUGGGAUUGAGCACUGUGUUGGACU
Hyaena hyaena (striped hyena) is the source of this 1496-nucleotide long non-coding RNA. RefSeq lists it as uncharacterized. The record is from RefSeq and is a predicted model, not a curated record. NCBI's taxonomy places the organism in Eukaryota, Metazoa, Chordata, Mammalia, Carnivora, Hyaenidae. The transcript is spliced from 3 exons.